CGAGGAUCCCCCUAGU
Molecule: ribosomal RNA, 16 nt
Filed under: Meistera koenigii
Lineage: Eukaryota; Viridiplantae; Streptophyta; Magnoliopsida; Zingiberales; Zingiberaceae
Also listed under: 4 other names
Description: partial 26S ribosomal RNA
Source: RNAcentral